CGAUACUUCGCUAGCGCGACUCUCCGUCCAAGCGAUUUUAUUAUUCUAACGUCAGCCGUUGUCCGUGGUGCAAUCGAAAGCCAUGCGUGCAAGGCAAAGAGAGGAAAGCAGCAAGCAAUACCAAAGCGAGCGAGCGAUCAAUCCCACCGACGACGGAAUUUGCUAUACCAAGCGUGGUUAGCAACAUGGAGACGAUUUCUAAACGAAUAUAUUUAAUCUAACUACUUUGCUCAUAGUGACAAAUCAAAAGUUUCCUAAAAAUAUAAAGAGAAGAAAAACAAAUAUAUAUGUAUUGCGAUCGUUGUUGUCGUUGUUGUUGUCGCUGUUGAUGUGAUUUAAUGUGCGAAUGAAAAAAUGAAGGGAGGAACUGAUGAUUCAAAGAUUAAUACGAUACGCUACUCCUAAUACAUUUUCUUCGGACUUUUAUAUUUUCUACUCGACACCUAUAUCUACAUCUUCUUCAUCGAACAGUAUCACUAUCGUUUGUAAUAAUAAAACGAACAUGCUGGAGUGUACGUACAUAUUUGUACGAACAAUAACUGCGGGAGACAAUCGAACGAGCCAGUGUUAAUAAGUGAGCAGACAAUGAUCGACAAAUCAAUUAGAGACACAACAGAAAGAGAUAGAAAUAAAGAUAGAUAGAUAGAUAGAUAGAUAGA
Long non-coding RNA from Vespula pensylvanica (western yellowjacket), 659 nucleotides. RefSeq lists it as uncharacterized. NCBI's taxonomy places the organism in Eukaryota, Metazoa, Arthropoda, Insecta, Hymenoptera, Vespidae. The record is from RefSeq and is a predicted model, not a curated record. The transcript is spliced from 2 exons.